GAUGAACGCUGGCGGCGUGCCUAAUACAUGCAAGUCGAGCGAACGGACGAGAAGCUUGCUUCUCUGAUGUUAGCGGAGGACGGGUGAGUAACACGUGGAUAACCUCCCUAUAAGACUGGGAUAACUUCGGGAAACCGGAGCUAAUACCGGAUAAUAUUUUGAACCGCAUGGUUCAAAAGUGAGAGACGGUCUUGCUGUCACUUCUCGAUGGAUCCGAGCUGCAUUAGCUAGUUGGUAAGGUCACGGCUCACCAAGGCAACUAUGCAUAUCCGACCGCAUAGGGUGGUCGGCCGCCCUGGAACUUGGACACGGUCCAUGCUCCUACGGGAGGCAGCAGUAGGCAAUCUUCCGCAAUGGUCGAAAGCCUGACGGAGCAGCGCCGCGUGUGUGAUGAAGGUCUUCGGUUCGUAAAACUCUGUUAUUAGGUAAAAACAUAUUUGUAAUUAACUGUGCCCAUCUUGACGGUACCUAAUCAGAAAGCCCCGGCUAACUACGUG
RNAcentral lists this ribosomal RNA (497 nucleotides) under uncultured bacterium. RNAcentral describes it as "partial 16S ribosomal RNA". It matches the Rfam family "Bacterial small subunit ribosomal RNA", at positions 28 to 507 of the family's 1533-position model. The record is from RNAcentral.